AGAGUUUGAUCCUGGCUCAGGAUGAACGCUGGCGGCGUGCCUAAUACAUGCAAGUAGAACGCUGAAGGAAGGGGCUUGCUCUUUCUGGAUGAGUUGCGAACGGGUGAGUAACGCGUAGGUAACCUGCCUCUUAGCGGGGGAUAACUAUUGGAAACGAUAGCUAAUACCGCAUAACAGUAGAUAUUGCAUGAUAUCUGCUUGAAAGGUGCAAUUGCAUCACUAAGAGAUGGACCUGCGUUGUAUUAGCUAGUUGGUGAGGUAACGGCUCACCAAGGCGACGAUACAUAGCCGACCUGAGAGGGUGAUCGGCCACACUGGGACUGAGACACGGCCCAGACUCCUACGGGAGGCAGCAGUAGGGAAUCUUCGGCAAUGGGGGGAACCCUGACCGAGCAACGCCGCGUGAGUGAAGAAGGUUUUCGGAUCGUAAAGCUCUGUUGUAAGAGAAGAACGAGUGUGAGAGUGGAAAGUUCACACUGUGACGGUAUCUUACCAGAAAGGGACGGCUAACUACGUGCCAGCAGCCGCGGUAAU
This 534-nucleotide ribosomal RNA is filed under the name uncultured Streptococcus sp. RNAcentral describes it as "bacterial SSU rRNA". It matches the Rfam family "Bacterial small subunit ribosomal RNA", at positions 8 to 524 of the family's 1533-position model. Lineage: Bacteria; Bacillati; Bacillota; Bacilli; Lactobacillales; Streptococcaceae. The record is from RNAcentral.